Molecule: long non-coding RNA, 382 nt
Organism: Astyanax mexicanus (Mexican tetra)
Lineage: Eukaryota; Metazoa; Chordata; Actinopteri; Characiformes; Acestrorhamphidae
Exons: 4
Source: RefSeq, a predicted model, not a curated record
GGUAAGUAUAACAGGUAAGCAUCUAUGGUAAGUAUAACAGGUAAGUAUAACAGGUAAGCAUCUAUGGUAAGUAUAACAGGUAAGUAUAACAGGUAAGCAUCUAUGGUAAGUAUAACAGGUAAGUAUAACAGGUAAGCAUCUAUGGUAAGUAUAACAGGUAAGUAUAACAGGUAAGCAUCUAUGGUAAGUAUAACAGGUAAGCAUCUAAGGUAAGUAUAACAACAGUUUAAUAUAACCAGUAAUGAUACCAGGGAUAUAUCAGUCGGGUGGUGAUAAGAACUGCCAUUAUCUUAAUCGCGAAUUAAGAUUUUGAAAAACUUUUUUGAAGAGUUUGUCUGUUUUGUUAAUUUUUUAUUUAUUUUUAUUUGUGCAACUCAAUGAG